UUUUCUUUGCUUUAUUUAUUUUAUUUUCAGUUGUACUUUUUAUUUUAUUUUUGGUUGUUUUAUUUUAAUUUGUGAGACUUCUUUAGUUUAUUUUUAUUUUGAACUAUGUUUUUAUUUUUCUUAUUUUGAUGGUUUUUUUAUUCGAGUUUGUAACCUCUUAAUCUUUUUAUCUAUUUGUGUUUAUCCUCUUUUUAGUUUACUCGAAAACAUGCACUACAUUUAGAAUUUCCCACACUUCCAGUUUUCUCCAUUCUGGUGAUUUCAUUCAUAUUCAAGGCAAUUUCAAUUCCCUUCCUCCUUAUGAUAUUGUGCUUAUUCUAUUUCUAUCUAUUUGUACAUUGAAGACAAUGUACAUCUUAAGUUUGGGGAGGUUGUUUAUAUAAUUAUG
This 388-nucleotide long non-coding RNA is filed under the name Gossypium raimondii (Peruvian cotton). RNAcentral describes it as "long non-coding RNA (GRAI_LNC006220)". Lineage: Eukaryota; Viridiplantae; Streptophyta; Magnoliopsida; Malvales; Malvaceae. The record is from RNAcentral.